Long non-coding RNA from Xenopus laevis (African clawed frog), 166 nucleotides. RefSeq lists it as uncharacterized. NCBI's taxonomy places the organism in Eukaryota, Metazoa, Chordata, Amphibia, Anura, Pipidae. The record is from RefSeq and is a predicted model, not a curated record. The transcript is spliced from 3 exons.
GGUCAGCGAGUCGCGGAUCAGUUUGCAGAUCAGGCAGUUGCGGGUCAGUGAGGCGUGGGACGCCAAGAGAAUCCAGCGCCCAGAGACAGAUCCAUGGGCCGCCUGUAUUGCAAAGAAGGCUAGCGCCCACUAAUGAUGACAUCACUUCCCGUUUCCAGCAACGGCA